Non-coding RNA from Vigna umbellata (rice bean), 1355 nucleotides. The record is from RefSeq and is a predicted model, not a curated record. NCBI's taxonomy places the organism in Eukaryota, Viridiplantae, Streptophyta, Magnoliopsida, Fabales, Fabaceae.
GUUGUUAACUUGAUAACUGAAUCACAGUGUCAAGCUACAAAUAAGGAGGAAGUCUUCAAAAUUCUAAAUGAAAGAUCCCUUUAUCCUAUAGGAUGGAUUCAUGUAUGUCUUCCUAUCUUUGGAAGGGUUUGUGACUGUCUUUAUCUCUAUAGGAGUAGGAUUUGGUGUGAUUGAUUACAACUUGUCAUCUAUAUUGAACUCGUCAUCUAUACUGAAAGACUAACCCGUGCAUUAGAAAUUUUGAAGAAGUUAAUUGUAGACUCCAGUGGACACUUUAUUUUCGUUAACGGCUCAGAUGUCUCUCCAUUUCAAUGGUCUAAUGAGCAUUCCUUUUUUGUUACUAUUAUUCUAUUACACAUUACUAUUAAAACUUGGUGUUGACAAAGUUGAAAAUAUUGUUCUAAAGGCAUCCUUUUUCUAGAAUUCACAGCAUAAUCAAAGAACCCUGCAAUCAUUUGUGAGGGAAAAUUCCUAUAGAGGAAGAAUUACCACUCUAACAUACCUAGACGAUAAUGAAGGCGGGGAGUGAAAGUGCUGGUACUGCCUGCCUCACCUUUUCAGAUCCAAAGGUCACUGCAUAUAAUAAAGGGGAGAUGCUGGUUUCUCAAGUCAAAUUUGCAUUUAUAUCAGGAUUAGCAAUAACCAUUUUAUUAAUACCAGGUAGAAAUAUCACUUAGAUUUUUUAAAUUACUGUUUGGUGACAUGUUCCAAGUUCAACUUAAACAUUUCCUCGGUGUUAUAAUUUGGUCAGAUAUAAUUGUUCUCUCUCAUUCAUUUGGACCAACUCAGUUUUGGGAUUGACGCCACAUUGUAAUCUUUAUUUAUUAUUGUAGGUAGAAGAUGUCGAAUAUCUGUUUUGUAAAUUCAGUAUCCAAAAUGGCCUAUAGAUAAUAUAGUACUUAGGGUAACACUUUGAUUUGGUCUUUUUCUUGCAGGAAGCUUAAAAAGUUAACGUAAAACAUGUAGCAUUGGAGAUUGGCAUUUCACCAUAUACAUUAAAUGCAAAUACAAAUGUAACAAGUGGAAUUUGUCAUGCUUUCUGUUUGGAAAAUUAUCAUUCUUAGUAUAAUAUUAGUUUAUUAAUUUUAUGUCCCAAUCCUUUUUCUUGCAUGAAGCUUAUAUGGCCCCUGAUGUCCGACAUAAAAUAGUCAAUUGGAUAAAAGACCAUGUAUAUUCUGGUGCAUUUCAUAAGGGUUUAAAGGUCAAUACCUUCACACUUUCAAUAUGUAUAAUUAAAAUAUAAUGCUUUUUUAAACUUUCUUUUUCUUUAUAUUCUUCUACUGUUUUGUUUUACUACUCUGACCCUUUUGCAUAUAUAGAAUCAACAUUCGGUGCUUUUUUAUAAUUUUAUUUCU